AUUGAACGCUGGCGGCAGGCCUAACACAUGCAAGUCGAACGGUAACAGGAAGCAGCUUGCUGCUUCGCUGACGAGUGGCGGACGGGUGUGUAAUGUCUGGGAAACUGCCUGAUGGAGGGGGAUAACUCCUGGAAACGGUAGCUAAUACCGCAUAACGUUGCAAGACCAAAGAGGGGGACCUUAGGGCCUCUUGCCAUCGGAUGUGCCCAGAUGGGAUUAGCUAGUAGGUGGGGUAACGGCUCACCUAGGCGACGAUCCCUAGCUGGUCUGAGAGGAUGACCAGCCACACUGGAACUGAGACACGGUCCAGACUCCUACGGGAGGCAGCAGUAGGGAAUAUUGCACAAUGGGCGCAAGCCUGAUGCAGCCAUGCCGCGUGUAUGAAGAAGGCCUUCGGGUUGUAAAGUACUGUCAGCGGGGAGGAAGGGAGUAAAGUUAAUACCUGUACUCAUUGACGUUACCCGCAGAAGAAGCACCGGCUAACUCCGUG
RNAcentral lists this ribosomal RNA (490 nucleotides) under uncultured bacterium. Its description in RNAcentral is "partial 16S ribosomal RNA". It matches the Rfam family "Bacterial small subunit ribosomal RNA", at positions 30 to 507 of the family's 1533-position model. The record is from RNAcentral.